UUGGAUGAUUUCUAUCGGGAAAAGGAUGAAAUUAGGGUUUCGCGUUUUUGUAUUUUGAUUUUUUCUGUUUCGAUUUUUCCAUCUUUAGAUUUUUAGGGAUUUUUUCGUUUUGUAUCGGUUUAUUAAACCGCGAUUUAGACCGGUUUUGGACCGGUUUUCGUUUAAAAAAAUUGCUGACGUGUCAAAAUUUUAAUUUAAAUUGCUGACCUAUAUGUGCUGACAACAACAAUUUGAGUUCGUGUGAAAAAUUGGUCAAAGUGGUCAAUGAUUUUAUAGACUAUAUGUUGGAGGUUUUUUCUAAUUGCAAGUUGUAAAUUUGGUAUUACAAGUUUAAGUUUUUUUUUUCAAGUUCAAGGUUUUUCGGAUUUUACUUUUUUUUUAAUAAAAAAAGUUUUCCCUCUUCUUUGACAAAUCAAGCACUGAUUUAGGCGGGAAAAUCCUCUCCCCUCAACUUUUCUACUUCCCUAAACCGCGCAUAGAGCCUUUCUCGCCGCCGUUUCUCGUGCUGUGAAGAACCGAACAUCGCCGGCAGCAACUGGGAGGUUGGGGACAUUCUGAGACUUCUAUAGCUACUGCGACUGGAAAUGCCACCAAGAAAAAAGUUGGAAGUCUUCAGCCUCGAAAUCAAGCAAAGUUUCUUCAGCUGAUCAUCCGUCGCAACCUUCAAAGUUUGGCAUCCAGCAGUUGUUCCUUCGUCAUUUUAAAAACUCCCAAUCCACAUCCUCAUUUCCUAGCUCCAGUAUUGCUUCUGGAAAUGAAGUUUUGGCACCGCAAAACCCUCCCGACAUGCUGGAUCGGCAAGCUGAUAAUGUGGAAGAGUCAUCGCAUGAGGUCUCAAAAACCUUCAAACAUUUCAAAUUCUCUCCUGGAACGGUGAUUGCUUCUGCUAUCCCACUUUCAAUUAGUUUCCGUAUUUACCUUAUUGGAUAUCGUAGCUUUAGUCCCUUAUUGGUUCUGGAAUUUUAAUGCGUUCAAUUCUUUCA
RNA transcript from Tarenaya hassleriana, 983 nucleotides. RefSeq lists it as uncharacterized. The record is from RefSeq and is a predicted model, not a curated record. The transcript is spliced from 3 exons. NCBI's taxonomy places the organism in Eukaryota, Viridiplantae, Streptophyta, Magnoliopsida, Brassicales, Cleomaceae.